AGUACGGCCGCAAGGCUAAAACUCAAAGGAAUUGACGGGGACCCGCACAAGCGGUGGAGCAUGUGGUUUAAUUCGAUGCAACGCGAAGAACCUUACCUGGUCUUGACAUACAGAGAACUUUUCAGAGAUGAAUUGGUGCCUUCGGGAACUCUGAUACAGGUGCUGCAUGGCUGUCGUCAGCUCGUGUCGUGAGAUGUUGGGUUAAGUCCCGUAACGAGCGCAACCCUUAUCCUUAUUUGCCAGCACGUAAUGGUGGGAACUAUAAGGAGACUGCCGGUGAUAAACCGGAGGAAGGCGAGGACGACGUCAAGUCAUCAUGGCCCUUACGACCAGGGCUACACACGUGCUACAAUGGAAAGGACAAAGAGUCGCGAAGCCGUGAGGUGUAGCCAAUCUCAUAAACCUUUUCGUAGUCCGGAUCGGAGUCUGCAACUCGACUCCGUGAAGUCGGAAUCGCUAGUAAUCGUGGAUCAGAAUGCCACGGUGAAUAC
RNAcentral lists this ribosomal RNA (491 nucleotides) under uncultured bacterium. RNAcentral describes it as "bacterial SSU rRNA". It matches the Rfam family "Bacterial small subunit ribosomal RNA", at positions 879 to 1369 of the family's 1533-position model. The record is from RNAcentral.